AGGCAGAGGAUGCGGAAGAGUGCAAAGUCGUGUUUGACAAAACAGCAGAAGAACAACGUGGUGAAGGCGGGGCUUGGAACGAACGCGACGCAUGAUAUUUAAAGGGGCGGAUCUAAGGUUGGAGUCUAGCCGUGGUCAGUUACAGGUCGACUUGUGAAAUAAAGUGCAAAUUUUCACUCGAAACCGUGUGACCUGUGAGUCAGUGACAGUGACCGUAAUUUGUUCACGAGACAAAAUGAUAAUAAAAGCACGUUAUUGGCGCAAAGUGGGGGGGGGGGGUAGGAGGCGAUGGGCUGCGCUAGCUUUAAACUCCAUAACUAGACGUCACAUGUUUCAUGUCGUCUUUAACUUUUUAGGUGCUGGAGGAAUUGAAGAAGCCAUUAACAGAAAUAAAUGAAAUGCUGAAAGGUGCGGCGCACGUAAUUUAAUGUUUGAAAACUUCUUUACAAAGUGUAUUUAUCGAUCAUAAUCCAAAUUGCCAACUCUAGGAGGGGCGGUUAAUACAAUUAGAAGUUUGGACAAAAAUCAUACUUCACAUUGCGAAUAUUGGAAAAUCCAAAUAAAUGUUAGGGAUUAUUCAGUCUCCCUUCUGGGAAGAAAACAUCAUCAAUUUCCAAAUCUGGAUUUAAGCCUGCACAGAAUUAAAUGCUUGGCAGCAGCAACUUUAUACAUCGACUUAACUACAGUUCUGCAAAAUAACAACUCCCUUUCCCUUUUAAAUCAAACCAUCCGACUCAAACUUCAUUCUCAACCCCAUGAUUCAUGCUGCCCUCUGGUUGCAUUCAUUCAUUUGUCAACGUUGUUCCUCCGUUUGUGCUGAAGGUGUUGGGUCAUGCUGAGGAUAGAGUUGCACAGUUAGCCGAUAAUGCGACCGUCCUUACUUAAUACAUUUUCUAGGCAUUGGGAAGUAGGUAGUUGGACUGUGCUGUUAUCGUCUGCCCCUCGCAGAGAAGUUUAUGCGAGGUUCAGGCAAAAUGACUCCUCCACAAGUCUGACAGGGAGCGAUUAGCUCGUAACGCCCCCAAGGCCCUGCAGAGAGAGAAAAAAAUCUGUUGCCAGAGUUUCGAAACAAGCACCAAAAUGUAGCCUGUAUGGUGGUGCAAACUACAAUGGGAGGGGUCUCUGCUUAACGACUUUCAGCCACAGCACUCUGAGAAACUGGAAACUUUAGAAACAGACAAAUAAGAAAUCCUCCUGCUCUAUAUUCCUCUGAUAUCUGCUUGAAACAAAACCUACUCCAUGUGCAUUUCAGACUCAGACACGACUAUCCUGAUUCUGGGUCUUUAGGAGGUGAAUGUGUCAAAGAGAAAAAAAAAAUCCCCCUGAGAAGAUUACUAAUCGCUGUGCACAUCAACUGCACUGCAUGGAACUGUUGCUGGGUUACUGCGAAUCAGAAACCACCAGCACUCUCAUAGCAGGUUAAGUGCAUCUAAUGG
This is a long non-coding RNA of Stegostoma tigrinum, 1436 nucleotides long. RefSeq lists it as uncharacterized. The record is from RefSeq and is a predicted model, not a curated record. The transcript is spliced from 3 exons. NCBI's taxonomy places the organism in Eukaryota, Metazoa, Chordata, Chondrichthyes, Orectolobiformes, Stegostomatidae.